This 427-nucleotide ribosomal RNA is filed under the name uncultured bacterium. RNAcentral describes it as "partial 16S ribosomal RNA". It matches the Rfam family "Bacterial small subunit ribosomal RNA", at positions 355 to 774 of the family's 1533-position model. The record is from RNAcentral.
UGGGGAAUAUUGGACAAUGGGGGCAACCCUGAUCCAGCCAUGCCGCGUGUGUGAAGAAGGCCUUUUGGUUGUAAAGCACUUUAAGCAGUGAAGAAGACUCCAUGGUUAAUACCCAUGAACGAUGACAUUAGCUGCAGAAUAAGCACCGGCUAACUCUGUGCCAGCAGCCGCGGUAAUACAGAGGGUGCAAGCGUUAAUCGGAAUUACUGGGCGUAAAGCGAGCGUAGGUGGCUUGAUAAGUCAGAUGUGAAAGCCCCGGGCUUAACCUGGGAACGGCAUCUGAUACUGUUAGGCUAGAGUAGGUGAGAGGAAGGUAGAAUUCCAGGUGUAGCGGUGAAAUGCGUAGAGAUCUGGAGGAAUACCGAUGGCGAAGGCAGCCUUCUGGCAUCAUACUGACACUGAGGUUCGAAAGCGUGGGUAGCAAACA